AGUCCGGUGCCUGAUGAAAAGGAUUAUCUUGAUAGGGUAAAUAAUGUGUUAUUCACUCGGGCUA
Molecule: transfer RNA, 64 nt
Filed under: Gondwanalimnadia sp. MT-2020
Lineage: Eukaryota; Metazoa; Arthropoda; Branchiopoda; Diplostraca; Limnadiidae
Description: tRNA-Ile
Source: RNAcentral